GCGGCAUGGCCCUGCUUCGGCUCCUAUGUGCUCCAGUGGCCUCCUCCAGUGCUCUAAUGGGACCUGCAGAGGCGGUGCCUGCAGUUGGGGCAGUAUGCAGAGAUGCCUGGCUGUGCCUCCACGUAGGAGCCGGAGAAGGGACAUGCUACUGCUUCCGGGAGCUGCUUGAGAGCAAGGAUAACAAUGGA
Chelonia mydas (Green sea turtle) is the source of this 188-nucleotide long non-coding RNA. RefSeq lists it as uncharacterized. The record is from RefSeq and is a predicted model, not a curated record. Lineage: Eukaryota; Metazoa; Chordata; Testudines; Cheloniidae. The transcript is spliced from 3 exons.